RNAcentral lists this ribosomal RNA (773 nucleotides) under uncultured bacterium. RNAcentral describes it as "bacterial SSU rRNA". It matches the Rfam family "Bacterial small subunit ribosomal RNA", at positions 8 to 798 of the family's 1533-position model. The record is from RNAcentral.
AGAGUUUGAUCAUGGCUCAGGACGAACGCUGGCGGCGUGCUUAACACAUGCAAGUCGAACGGAAAGGCCCUUCGGGGUGCUCGAGUGGCGAACGGGUGAGUAACACGUGGGUGAUCUGCCCUGCACUUUGGGAUAAGCCUGGGAAACUGGGUCUAAUACCGAAUAGGACUCCGGACUGCAUGGUCUGGGGUGGAAAGCUUUUGCGGUGUGGGAUGGGCCCGCGGCCUAUCAGCUUGUUGGUGGGGUGAUGGCCUACCAAGGCGACGACGGGUAGCCGGCCUGAGAGGGUGACCGGCCACACUGGGACUGAGAUACGGCCCAGACUCCUACGGGAGGCAGCAGUGGGGAAUAUUGCACAAUGGGCGCAAGCCUGAUGCAGCGACGCCGCGUGAGGGAUGACGGCCUUCGGGUUGUAAACCUCUUUCAGCACAGACGAAGCGCGAGUGACGGUAUGUGCAGAAGAAGGACCGGCCAACUACGUGCCAGCAGCCGCGGUAAUACGUAGGGUCCGAGCGUUGUCCGGAAUUACUGGGCGUAAAGGGCGCGUAGGCGGACAUUUAAGUCAGAGGUGAAAGCCCAGGGCUCAACCUUGGAAUUGCCUUUGAUACUGGAUGUCUUGAGUUCGGGAGAGGUGAGUGGAAUGCCGAGUGUAGAGGUGAAAUUCGUAGAUAUUCGGCGGAACACCAGUGGCGAAGGCGACUCACUGGCCCGAUACUGACGCUGAGGCGCGAAAGCGUGGGGAGCAAACAGGAUUAGAUACCCUGGUACUCCAA